GACGAACGCUGGCGGCGCGCUUAACACAUGCAAGUCGAGCGAUGAAACUUUAACAGAACCCUUCGGGUCGAAGAUAAAGUGGAUUAGCGGCGGACGGGUGAGUAACACGUGAGUAACCUGCCUUAGACAUUGGGAUAGCCUCGGGAAACCGGGAUUAAUACCAAAUAAAAUCAUAAUGACACAUGUCAUAACGAUCAAAACUCCGGUGGUCUAAGAUGGACUCGCGUCCCAUUAGCUAGUUGGUAGAGUAAAAGCCUACCAAGGCGACGAUGGGUAGCCGGCCUGAGAGGGUGAACGGCCACAUUGGAACUGAGAAACGGUCCAAACUCCUACGGGAGGCAGCAGUGGGGAAUAUUGCACAAUGGAGGGAACUCUGAUGCAGCGACGCCGCGUGAACGAAGAAGGCUUUCGAGUCGUAAAGUUCUUUUAUAUGGGAAGAUAAUGACGGGACCAUAAGAAAAAGCCCCGGCUAACUACGU
Molecule: ribosomal RNA, 479 nt
Filed under: uncultured bacterium
Lineage: Bacteria
Description: partial 16S ribosomal RNA
Rfam family: Bacterial small subunit ribosomal RNA
Source: RNAcentral